This 497-nucleotide ribosomal RNA is filed under the name uncultured bacterium. RNAcentral describes it as "partial 16S ribosomal RNA". It matches the Rfam family "Bacterial small subunit ribosomal RNA", at positions 28 to 507 of the family's 1533-position model. The record is from RNAcentral.
GAUGAACGCUGGCGGCGUGCCUAAUACAUGCAAGUCGAGCGAACGGACGAGAAGCUUGCUUCUCUGAUGUUAGCGGCGGACGGGUGAGUAACACGUGGAUAACCUACCUAUAAGACUGGGAUAACUUCGGGACACCGGAGCUAAUACCGGAUGAUAUUUUGAACCGCAUGGUUCAAAAGUGAAAGACGGUCUUGCUGUCACUUAUAGAUGGAUCCGCGCUGCAUUAGCUAGUUGGUAAGGUAACGGCUUACCAAGGCAACGAUGCAUAGCCGACCUGAGAGGGUGAUCGGCCACACGGGAACUGAGACACGGUCCAGACUCCUACGGGAGGCAGCAGUAGGGAAUCUUCCGCAAUGGGCGAAAGCCUGACGGAGCAACGCCGCGUGAGUGAUGAAGGUCUUCGGAUCGUAAAACUCUGUUAUUAGGGAAGAACAGAUGUGUAAGUAACUGUGCACAUCUUGACGGUACCUAAUCAGAAAGCCACGGCUAACUACGUG